GCCAAGCUUGCUUGGUGGAUCAGUGGCGAACGGGUGAGUAACACGUGAGCAACCUGCCCUGGACUCUGGGAUAAGCGCUGGAAACGGCGUCUAAUACUGGAUAUGAGCCCCUAUCGCAUGGUGGGGGUUGGAAAGAUUUUUUGGUCUGGGAUGGGCUCGCGGCCUAUCAGCUUGUUGGUGAGGUAAUGGCUCACCAAGGCGUCGACGGGUAGCCGGCCUGAGAGGGUGACCGGCCACACUGGGACUGAGACACGGCCCAGACUCCUACGGGAGGCAGCAGUGGGGAAUAUUGCACAAUGGGCGAAAGCCUGAUGCAGCAACGCCGCGUGAGGGAUGACGGCCUUCGGGUUGUAAACCUCUUUUAGCAGGGAAGAAGCGAAAGUGACGGUACCUGCAGAAAAAGCGCCGGCUAACUACGUGCCAGCAGCCGCGGUAAUACGUAGGGCGCAAGCGUUAUCCGGAAUUAUUGGGCGUAAAGAGCUCGUAGGCGGUUUGUCGCGUCUGCUGUGAAAUCCCGAGGCUCAACCUCGGGCCUGCAGUGGGUACGGGCAGACUAGAGUGCGGUAGGGGAGAUUGGAAUUCCUGGUGUAGCGGUGGAAUGCGCAGAUAUCAGGAGGAACACCGAUGGCGAAGGCAGAUCUCUGGGCCGUAACUGACGCUGAGGAGCGAAAGGGUGGGGAGCAAACAGGCUUAGAUACCCUGGUAGUCCACCCCGUAAACGUUGGGAACUAGUUGUGGGGACCAUUCCA
This 749-nucleotide ribosomal RNA is filed under the name Microbacterium aurantiacum. RNAcentral's name for it is "partial 16S ribosomal RNA". It matches the Rfam family "Bacterial small subunit ribosomal RNA", at positions 73 to 836 of the family's 1533-position model. The record is from RNAcentral. Lineage: Bacteria; Bacillati; Actinomycetota; Actinomycetes; Micrococcales; Microbacteriaceae.